Molecule: ribosomal RNA, 451 nt
Filed under: uncultured bacterium
Lineage: Bacteria
Description: bacterial SSU rRNA
Rfam family: Bacterial small subunit ribosomal RNA
Source: RNAcentral
GUGGGGAAUUGUUCGCAAUGGGCGCAAGCCUGACGACGCAACGCCGCGUGGGGGAUGAAGGUCUUCGGAUUGUAAACCCCUGUCGAGCGGGACGAACGGCCCGCGACCUAACACGUCGCGGGAGUGACGGUACCGCUAAAGGAAGCCACGGCUAACUCUGUGCCAGCAGCCGCGGUAAUACAGAGGUGGCAAGCGUUGUUCGGAAUUACUGGGCGUAAAGGGCGCGUAGGCGGCCCUCUAAGUCAGACGUGAAAUCCCCCGGCUCAACCUGGGAACUGCGUCUGAUACUGGAGGGCUUGAGUGCGGGAGAGGGAUGUGGAAUUCCAGGUGUAGCGGUGAAAUGCGUAGAUAUCUGGAGGAACACCGGUGGCGAAGGCGGCAUCCUGGACCGACACUGACGCUGAGGCGCGAAAGCUAGGGUAGCAAACGGGAUUAGAAACCCCAGUAGUCC